RNAcentral lists this long non-coding RNA (490 nucleotides) under Homo sapiens (human). RNAcentral's name for it is "HSALNT0310574". The record is from RNAcentral. Lineage: Eukaryota; Metazoa; Chordata; Mammalia; Primates; Hominidae.
GGAUAAUCAAAACUCGACUAUAAAUAACUAAUGGAACGACGAACGUGUUUAGUGAAGUUAUUUUCUAAAGCAGCGUACAGGCAAAAUGAGUGCUUUCCUGGAGCAAAUCCUCAAGCUGUUCCAGAAGGAAGUAAGCUGCCACAUCAUGAGAGGGCCUAUGGAGGGGGCCAAUGGCAAGGAACUGCAGGUGGCCUAUAUUUGCUGAGAGUGGCCCCCAACUGACAUCCAGCAACAAAACAGGGCCUCAGUCCUACAACCACAAGGAGAUGAAUUCUGCCAAUGACAUGAAGAAGCUUGGAAGUUCUUUCCCCAGUCUAGCCUCUGAUGAGCCCACAGCCUUGACCAACAUCUGGAUUGCAGCCUUUUGAGACCCAGAGCAGAGGGCACAGCUAAGCUGAAUCUGGACUUCUGAACUAUGGAAACUGUGAGAUAAUGAGUAUUGUUUUGAGCCUCUAAGUUUUUGGUAAUUUGUUAUGCAGCAAUAAAAAAC